RNAcentral lists this ribosomal RNA (403 nucleotides) under Verrucomicrobiota bacterium. RNAcentral describes it as "Verrucomicrobia bacterium partial 16S ribosomal RNA". It matches the Rfam family "Bacterial small subunit ribosomal RNA", at positions 355 to 776 of the family's 1533-position model. Lineage: Bacteria; Pseudomonadati; Verrucomicrobiota. The record is from RNAcentral.
UGGGGAAUUUUGCACAAUGGGGGAAACCCUGAUGCAGCGACGCCGCGUGAUUUAGAAGGCCUUCGGGUUGUAAAAAUCUUUUGUAUGGGAAGAAAAUGACAGUACCAUACGAAUAAGCGCCGGCUAACUACGUGCCAGCAGCCGCGGUAAUACGUAGGGCGCAAGCGUUAUCCGGAAUUAUUGGGCGUAAAGAGCUUGUAGGCGGUUCGUCGCGUCUGGUGUGAAAGCCCAUCGCUUAACGGUGGGUUUGCGCCGGGUACGGGCGGGCUAGAGUGCAGUAGGGGAGACUGGAAUUCCCGGUGUAACGGUGGAAUGUGUAGAUAUCGGGAAGAACACCAAUGGCGAAGGCAGGUCUCUGGGCUGUUACUGACGCUGAGAAGCGAAAGCGUGGGGAGCGAACAGG